GACGAACGCUGGCGGCGUGCUUAACACAUGCAAGUCGAACGGUGAAGCGCCAGCUUGCUGGAGUGGAUCAGUGGCGAACGGGUGAGUAACACGUGAGCAACCUGCCCCUGACUCUGGAAUAAGCGCUGGAAACGGCGUCUAAUACUGGAUACGAGAAGGGUCCGCAUGGGCACUUUCUGUAAAGUUUUUCGGUUGGGGAUGGUCUCGCGGCCUAUCAGCUUGUUGGUGAGGUAAUGGCUCACCAAGGCGACGACGGGUAGCCGGCCUGAGAGGGCGACCGGCCACACUGGGACUGAGACACGGACCAGACUCCUACGGGAGGCAGCAGUGGGGAAUAUUGCACAAUGGGCGAAAGCCUGAUGCAGCGACGCCGCGUGAGGGAUGACGGCCUUCGGGUUGUAAACCUCUUUCAGCAGGGAAGAAGCGAAAGUGACGGUACCUGCAGAAGAAGCACCGGCUAACUACGUG
Molecule: ribosomal RNA, 468 nt
Filed under: uncultured bacterium
Lineage: Bacteria
Description: partial 16S ribosomal RNA
Rfam family: Bacterial small subunit ribosomal RNA
Source: RNAcentral